GACGAACGCUGGCGGCGUGCUUAACACAUGCAAGUCGAACGGUAAGGCCCUUCGGGGUACACGAGUGGCGAACGGGUGAGUAACACGUGGGUGAUCUGCCCUGCACUUCGGGAUAAGCCUGGGAAACUGGGUCUAAUACCGGAUAGGACCACUGCCUGCAUGGGUGGUGGUGUAAAGCUUUUGCGGUGUGGGAUGGGCCCGCGGCCUAUCAGCUUGUUGGUGGGGUGAUGGCCUACCAAGGCGACGACGGGUAGCCGGCCUGGGAGGGUGACCGGCCACACUGGGACUGAGAUACGGCCCAGACUCCUACGGGAGGCAGCAGUGGGGAAUAUUGCACAAUGGGCGCAAGCCUGAUGCAGCGACGCCGCGUGAGGGAUGACGGCCUUCGGGUUGUAAACCUCUUUCAGCACCGACGAAGCGCAGGUGACGGUAGGUGCAGAAGAAGGACCGGCCAACUACGUGCCAGCCGCCGCAGUAA
This 478-nucleotide ribosomal RNA is filed under the name uncultured bacterium. RNAcentral describes it as "partial 16S ribosomal RNA". It matches the Rfam family "Bacterial small subunit ribosomal RNA", at positions 28 to 523 of the family's 1533-position model. The record is from RNAcentral.